AGUGAACGCUGGCGGCGUGCCUAACACAUGCAAGUCGAACGAGAACGGGAUUUAGUUUACUAAAUUUGUCAGCUAAGUGGCGCACGGGUGAGUAAUAUAUAGUUAAUCUGCCUCAAAGAAGGGAAUAAUUGUUGGAAACGACUUGUAACUCCCUAUAUGCCUUUAUCACAUAAGUGAGCAAGGGAAACAUUUAUGGCUUUGAGAUGAGACUGUACAGUAUCAGUUAGUUGGUGAGGUAAUGGCUCACCAAGACAAUGACGCUUAACUGGUUUGAGAGGAUGAUCAGUCACACUGGAACUGAGACACGGUCCAGACUCCUACGGGAGGCAGCAGUGGGGAAUAUUGCACAAUGGAGGAAACUCUGAUGCAGCAACGCCGCGUGGAGGAUGACACAUUUCGGUGCGUAAACUCCUUUUAUAUGAGAAGAUAAUGACGGUAUCAUAUGAAUAAGCACCGGCUAACUCCGUGCCAG
Molecule: ribosomal RNA, 472 nt
Filed under: uncultured bacterium
Lineage: Bacteria
Description: bacterial SSU rRNA
Rfam family: Bacterial small subunit ribosomal RNA
Source: RNAcentral